UUUGCGGGGGUGCCGAAAGGCUGAGAUCAUACCCUUAGAACCUGAUGAGGCCAAUACCUCCGAAGGGAGCAGAAAAA
Molecule: non-coding RNA, 77 nt
Filed under: bovine gut metagenome
Description: TPP riboswitch (THI element)
Rfam family: TPP riboswitch aptamer (THI element)
About the family: Vitamin B(1) in its active form thiamin pyrophosphate (TPP) is an essential coenzyme that is synthesised by coupling of pyrimidine and thiazole moieties in bacteria.
Source: RNAcentral